Molecule: long non-coding RNA, 2373 nt
Organism: Mustela lutreola (European mink)
Lineage: Eukaryota; Metazoa; Chordata; Mammalia; Carnivora; Mustelidae
Exons: 4
Source: RefSeq, a predicted model, not a curated record
GCGCCCCACCCCCACCCCUCGGUCCCUCCCUGGUCCCCUGAGCGCCCCCUGCGGAUUCCCGGUCGUACCGCACGGGUGGAGCCCAUUUCGGGGGCCCGCUCCUGCAAGCAUCGGGAUGCGGAGGCCCUGUCCAGAGAAUCCUGCCUACUGGGUGCUUUCAUUCCCGGCUUUCCGGAGAACUUUCCCAAAGAAACACCGGCUGUCGUCGUCCUGACCGCCAGGUUGCGGAGGGGUGGCUCACCUCUGCUUAGAGCCCCAGAGCUACUGCCUGAGGCCUGGCUCUGGGGAGGGUAAAGCCGAACUGGUGAGGGUGCCUCUCAUCGACGGCGGCUCUACCAGUGCCCCCCACCCCAGAGUUUUGCCCUGGAACCAUGCCUCUCUGGCGCCCAAAUGAAUCUGAUUUCUGCCAGACCACAGAAAACCUGAAUUCUAAACCUAGAGGGAAAAACAGCCCGCAGCCUCCCCCAGUCUUGGAUUGUUUUGAGUUGCAAGAGAAGCCCGGUCAGGGAUCCCCAUCUCCACCCCCCCUGCCCCCCCCCCGCCACGCCCCCCUGCAGUUCUUUGAAGUUCAAAUCCUGAGAAAAGCCAAUAGGCGGCUGGCCGGGUGUCAGACAAUCCAGCUGACGACAGAAGGCGCCUCCUACUGGGAAUCUGCUGUGUCCGGGACAGAAAUUAGACACCCUGGUGGGACCGCAGUCAAGUUCACUGCCAAACUGCCAAGUUCAUGGGUACACAUCAUCCAAAGGCAGGCUCGCCCUGGCUAAUCUGGGAAGAGGCUGGAGAAAUUCCCAUCCGAAGUGGAGCCACAGGCAAAACUGGAAAUGGACAGAGGCAGUGUGUUUCUCCCUCUCCCUCCACCAUGGUGCUUCCUAACUGGUAUCCUGCUUCCAGGCUGUCCCCCUGGAAUGCAUUCUCCAUGCCACACAGUCAGCGUUGUGACACAGAGAACUGAGCCACGGUUCCCUGCGGACCGCAGCAUCGAGUCUGACAUAGGCCUUCGUGACCAGGUGGGACCCUCUGAUGUGCCCAGCCUUGUUACUCAUGGCUCCCUCGGGCUCCAGGCCCUGUCACUCUUCCGUGGUCCCUUUUCCAUCAGGGAUCAAACGUUUCCCAGAAGCUCCCCGUAAGCUUCCUUCAUAGCUCCCUUGUUGGAACCGGGUCACAUGCUCAUUCCAAAACCCAUGACCAAAACCCUUGACUGGUAUAGACCCUCAGGAGUCCCUGGCGUUGGCACAGAUAUCCGAAUCAGAUGGAGGCUCUGCCAAUAGGAGGAAGAGGCUGGUGCACCCAGCAGGCACCUCUAGGUGCCCCGCCCCCACCCCAGGUGCAGGGAGCCCGCCAGGUUCCACUGAGGCAGGAAGCUGGCUGCAGAGAGAACUCAAGAGGGAAGCUCCCUGGUUUGCUGUCCGCCUUCCUUCCUUCUUAGUCCUGAGCAGCAUUCCUGUUUUUCCAAUGAGUUUCCUUUCUUACUUAAACUAGUUUGGUAGGUUUCCAUUUCUUGCAAUGAAAGGCUCUUGAGAGAAACCCUCUGAGGCUCUUGCCAGCGGCUGGGAGAAGUGCCAGAGGCUGGGCAUAGGCGUCCUGAUCCUCUCCUGGUGAAGCGACUGCAUUGAAACCCCCGGCAGCAAACACCGGGGCCCCAUGUGACUUGGAUUCCAGGAAACCCAUUCACUUCCAGGCUAGCCGGUGGAUCUUCUUAUUUCAGGAGUAAACCAGAUUCAGCAGAAAAGCAGAGAUAACGUUUUUGACUUUGAAGAAUCAAGACUUUGGGGUUGUAAGAACCUGAGCUCUGAGUUUCAAAAGUGGGAGCCCUGGGCAUAAAAUUUAUGUCACUAACAAAAGGUCUAGGGCUAAACAAGGUCCAACAACCACUUGGCCAGACCCAGUUACCAUCAGGUAUUUCUGAGCAGGGGGUCCCUGCAGAGGGGAAGGGGAGAGGGGAAAGAGGUACAAUGAUGUGGAUCUCCAGGGAGGUGAGUGGUGGCCAGUGCAAUGGCCCCGUGCCAGUCUGAGAGUGGGUGUGGGCAGGGGGGGAGCCCCAGAGAGUGUCUGCCCCCACCCAGGAUGGUACGGGAGGGGAUGGUCGCAUGGGGGGUGUCAGCCCUGCAGCAAUUUGCCUGACCAUACCAAUGUCCCCUGUAUGCCUCAGAGGAGGGCAGAAGAAGCUGAGAGAAGAAAGAGGGAGAAGCUGGGCGAAGAAAGGGCGUCCAGGAGGCGAGGAGGGCACGUCUGCCAUCCGGAAGACAGAAAUGAGGCCAUGUUGGCAGGUGCCAGAGAACACCAGAUUGCUGCUGGCCCCUGCCCAGGUCUUGGCACUUUGUGAACUCCCUUCACCAAAAAAAAAAAAAAAAAAAAAAAAAAAAAAGGAAGAAA